Long non-coding RNA from Strigops habroptila (Kakapo), 156 nucleotides. RefSeq lists it as uncharacterized. The transcript has 3 exons. The record is from RefSeq and is a predicted model, not a curated record. Lineage: Eukaryota; Metazoa; Chordata; Aves; Psittaciformes; Psittacidae.
CCAAGUUCAUUAAUUCAGGGAGCUGCUGUAUUUGAGUAGCUCAGUUAUCUACACAACACAGUGGAUUAAUCGUUCACAUCAUCAGGCACUGGAAUCUCAAUCAUUACUGUGCCCACAAACAAGUGGGCAACAGGAUUGUCAGAUAUUCCAACUGUC